RNAcentral lists this ribosomal RNA (482 nucleotides) under uncultured bacterium. RNAcentral's name for it is "partial 16S ribosomal RNA". It matches the Rfam family "Bacterial small subunit ribosomal RNA", at positions 30 to 507 of the family's 1533-position model. The record is from RNAcentral.
UGAACGCUGGCGGCAGGCCUAACACAUGCAAGUCGAGCGGAUGAAGGGAGCUUGCUCCUGGCUUCAGCGGCGGACGGGUGAGUAAUGCCUAGGAAUCUGCCUGGUAGUGGGGGAUAACGUCCGGAAACGGGCGCUAAUACCGCAUACGUCCUGAGGGAGAAAGUGGGGGAUCUUCGGACCUCACGCUAUCAGAUGAGCCUAGGUCGGAUUAGCUAGUUGGUGGGGUAAAGGCCUACCAAGGCGACGAUCAGUAACUGGUCUGAGAGGAUGAUCAGUCACACUGGAACUGAGACACGGUCCAGACUCCUACGGGAGGCAGCAGUGGGGAAUAUUGGACAAUGGGCGAAAGCCUGAUCCAGCCAUGCCGCGUGUGUGAAGAAGGUCUUCGGAUUGUAAAGCACUUUAAGUUGGGAGGAAGGGCAGUAAGUUAAUACCUUGCUGUUUUGACGUUACCAACAGAAUAAGCACCGGCUAACUUCGUG